Molecule: long non-coding RNA, 357 nt
Organism: Populus trichocarpa (black cottonwood)
Lineage: Eukaryota; Viridiplantae; Streptophyta; Magnoliopsida; Malpighiales; Salicaceae
Exons: 3
Source: RefSeq, a predicted model, not a curated record
CAGGUUGCUUUAUUUUUUAUGGAUCUUCUCAGAAUCUUUAAUCGUGUAGGCUAUUGGUUUUGCUAUCCACUUUCAAGAAAUGUUUAACAAGGACAAUGGCUCUACCUAUAAAACAGAUUAAAAAAUACAACUUCUACCCUUCAUUACGAGCUAGGGCCUGUCGAGUUUGGAUUGCUAAAUUUAAUGGUCAGCCAAGCAAUUUUAAUUGUGUUUUUGUUGACAAUCAGGGUGGAGCUAUUCAAGCUUUAGCUAAAACAAGGGAUCUCCUAACAUUUGCAGCAACAAUUAUUGAAGGAAAUCACUAUGAAAUCAAAGGAUUCUAUACUUAUGAAAACAGAGUAGUAAACACAGUUACUG